AGAGUUUGCUUCUGGCUCAGGACGAACGCUGGCGGCGCGCCUAACACAUGCAAGUCGAACGAGCGAGAGAGAGCUUGCUUUCUCGAGCGAGUGGCGAACGGGUGAGUAACGCGUGAGGAACCUGCCUCAAAGAGGGGGACAACAGUUGGAAACGACUGCUAAUACCGCAUAAGCCCACGGUGCCGCAUGGUACAGAGGGAAAAGGAGCAAUCCGCUUUGAGAUGGCCUCGCGUCCGAUUAGCUAGUUGGUGAGGUAACGGCCCACCAAGGCGACGAUCGGUAGCCGGACUGAGAGGUUGAACGGCCACAUUGGGACUGAGACACGGCCCAGACUCCUACGGGAGGCAGCAGUGGGGAAUAUUGCACAAUGGGGGAAACCCUGAUGCAGCGACGCCGCGUGGAGGAAGAAGGUCUUCGGAUUGUAAACUCCUGUUGUUGGGGAAGAUAAUGACGGUACCCAACAAGGAAGUGACGGCUAACUACGUGCCAGCAGCCGCGGUAAAACGUAGGUCACAAGCGUUGUCCGGAAUUACUGGGUGUAAAGGGAGCGCAGGCGGGAAGACAAGUUGGAAGUGAAAUCUAUGGGCUCAACCCAUAAACUGCUUUCAAAACUGUUUUUCUUGAGUAGUGCAGAGGUAGGCGGAAUUCCCGGUGUAGCGGUGGAAUGCGUAGAUAUCGGGAGGAACACCAGUGGCGAAGGCGGCCUACUGGGCACCAACUGACGCUGAGGCUCGAAAGUGUGGGUAGCAAACAGGAUUAGAUACCCUGGUAGUCCACACCGUAAACGAUGAUUACUAGGUGUUGGAGGAUUGACCCCCUCAGUGCCGCAGUUAACACAAUAAGUAAUCCACCUGGGGAGUACGACCGCAAGGUUGAAACUCAAAGGAAUUGACGGGGGCCCGCACAAGCAGUGGAGUAUGUGGUUUAAUUCGACGCAACGCGAAGAACCUUACCAAGUCUUGACAUCCCUUGACAGGCAUAGAAAUAUGUUUUCUCUUCGGAGCAAGGAGACAGGUGGUGCAUGGUUGUCGUCAGCUCGUGUCGUGAGAUGUUGGGUUAAGUCCCGCAACGAGCGCAACCCUUAUGGUCAGUUACUACGCAAGAGGACUCUGGCCAGACUGCCGUUGACAAAACGGAGGAAGGUGGGGAGGACGUCAAAUCAUCAUGCCCCCUAUGAGCAGGGCUACACACGUACUACAAUGGCGUUAAACAAAGGGAAGCAAGACCGCGAGGUGGAGCAAAACUCAGAAACAACGUCCCAGUUCGGACUGCAGGCUGCAACUCGCCUGCACGAAGUCGGAAUUGCUAGUAAUCGUGGAUCAGCAUGCCACGGUGAAUA
Molecule: ribosomal RNA, 1339 nt
Filed under: uncultured bacterium
Lineage: Bacteria
Description: 16S ribosomal RNA
Rfam family: Bacterial small subunit ribosomal RNA
Source: RNAcentral